GGAGGGUGCGAGCGUUAAUCGGAAUUACUGGGCGUAAAGCGCGCGUAGGUGGUUUGUUAAGUUGGUUGUGAAAGCCCCGGGCUCAACCUGGGAUGGUCGAUCAAAACUGGCAAACUAGAGUAUGGGAGAGGGCAGUGGAAUUUCCAGUGUAGCGGUGAAAUGCGUAGAGAUUGGAAGGAACACCAGUGGCGAAGGCGACUGCCUGGCCUGAUACUGACACUGAGGUGCGAAAGCGUGGGGAGCAAACAGGGAUUAGAUACCCUGGUAGUCCACGCCGUAAACGAUGUCAACUAGUUGUUGGGUACGUAGAUGUACUUAGUGACGCAGCUAACGCGAUAAGUUGACCGCCUGGGGAGUACGGUCGCAAGAUUA
RNAcentral lists this ribosomal RNA (372 nucleotides) under uncultured organism. Its description in RNAcentral is "partial 16S ribosomal RNA". It matches the Rfam family "Bacterial small subunit ribosomal RNA", at positions 527 to 896 of the family's 1533-position model. The record is from RNAcentral.